RNAcentral lists this transfer RNA (36 nucleotides) under Eremolaena rotundifolia. RNAcentral's name for it is "partial tRNA-His". The record is from RNAcentral. Lineage: Eukaryota; Viridiplantae; Streptophyta; Magnoliopsida; Malvales; Sarcolaenaceae.
UGGGGCGGAUGUAGCCAAGUGGAUUAAGGCAGUGGA